GCGGGUGUUGCCAAGUGGUAAGGCCCCAGCUUCCCAAGCUGGUAUUCGCGGGUUCGAGUCCCGUCACCCGCUCCA
This 75-nucleotide transfer RNA is filed under the name Coriobacterium glomerans PW2. RNAcentral describes it as "tRNA-Gly (CCC) (tRNA-Gly-CCC-1-1)". It matches the Rfam family "tRNA". From Rfam's summary of the family: Transfer RNA (tRNA) molecules are approximately 80 nucleotides in length. Their secondary structure includes four short double-helical elements and three loops (D, anti-codon, and T loops). The record is from RNAcentral. RNAcentral also lists the same sequence under 3 other names. Lineage: Bacteria; Bacillati; Actinomycetota; Coriobacteriia; Coriobacteriales; Coriobacteriaceae.